UAUUUUUUGGUGUAUGAUGCAUUUAGAAUUUUGAAUUCUAAUGAAAUAGUUUAAAUCUAUUAAAAAUAA
RNAcentral lists this transfer RNA (69 nucleotides) under Sinopoppia nigroflagella. RNAcentral describes it as "tRNA-Gln". The record is from RNAcentral. Lineage: Eukaryota; Metazoa; Arthropoda; Insecta; Hymenoptera; Tenthredinidae.